GGGAACCUCACCAGCCCCAUACAUAGGGAGGAUUGACAGCUUGAUAGUUCUUUCUUGAUUCUAUGGUUGGUGGUGCAUGGCCGUUCUUAGUUGGUGGAGCGAUCUGUCUGGUUAAUUCCGUUAACGAACGAGAUCUUAACCUGCUAAAUAGGUAUCCGUUGUGAUUAUCUUCUUAGAGGGACACUUUAUCGUCUAGAUAAAGGAAGCUUGAGGUAAUAA
RNAcentral lists this ribosomal RNA (219 nucleotides) under uncultured eukaryote. RNAcentral describes it as "partial 18S ribosomal RNA". It matches the Rfam family "Eukaryotic small subunit ribosomal RNA", at positions 1208 to 1456 of the family's 1831-position model. The record is from RNAcentral.